Molecule: ribosomal RNA, 497 nt
Filed under: uncultured bacterium
Lineage: Bacteria
Description: partial 16S ribosomal RNA
Rfam family: Bacterial small subunit ribosomal RNA
Source: RNAcentral
GAUGAACGCUGGCGGCGUGCCUAAUACAUGCAAGUCGAGCGAACAGAUAAGGAGCUUGCUCCUUUGACGUUAGCGGCGGACGGGUGAGUAACACGUGGGUAACCUACCUAUAAGACUGGAAUAACUCCGGGAAACCGGGGCUAAUGCCGGAUAACAUUUAGAACCGCAUGGUUCUAAAGUGAAAGAUGGUUUUGCUAUCACUUAUAGAUGGACCCGCGCCGUAUUAGCUAGUUGGUAAGGUAACGGCUUACCAAGGCAACGAUACGUAGCCGACCUGAGAGGGUGAUCGGCCACACUGGAACUGAGACACGGUCCAGACUCCUACGGGAGGCAGCAGUAGGGAAUCUUCCGCAAUGGGCGAAAGCCUGACGGAGCAACGCCGCGUGAGUGAUGAAGGUCUUCAGAUCGUAAAACUCUGUUAUUAGGGAAGAACAAAUGUGUAAGUAACUGUGCACGUCUUGACGGUACCUAAUCAGAAAGCCACGGCUAACUACGUG